This 93-nucleotide transfer RNA is filed under the name Streptomyces spiralis. RNAcentral describes it as "tRNA-Arg". The record is from RNAcentral. Lineage: Bacteria; Bacillati; Actinomycetota; Actinomycetes; Kitasatosporales; Streptomycetaceae.
UGCUCGGCGGCCCGGGAGAGGUAGGACGCGCGGGUCCUGGCCGCGAGCCGGGAGUCGUCGCAGAAGCAGCUGUUCCAGGCGGGUUCGAGGACC